RNAcentral lists this ribosomal RNA (315 nucleotides) under Triticum aestivum (bread wheat). Its description in RNAcentral is "partial small subunit ribosomal RNA". Lineage: Eukaryota; Viridiplantae; Streptophyta; Magnoliopsida; Poales; Poaceae. The record is from RNAcentral.
AUGGCCGAUAUCGAGAAUCCUGUUCCCAAGAAGGACGACGACGAGCUCGCGGCGAUGGUGGCGGAGCCGAGCGAGUACAUCGGGUUCGCGUGCACGUGGAUGCUGCUCUUCUUCGCUAUCGCGCUACACCUCAUGUCAAUCGGCCUCAUGGCGUUCUUCCAGAGAAACUAUCCUGGGACCAAGCUCGACCUUGGCGCGUCCGUCGCGGGGGGCAUAGGCAUAGGUGUUGCCUGGGCCUGUAUAAUGCUUUGUUUCUUUUCUUUCACGAGUACUAUCCCGUCGUCCAAAAUACAAGGGGACGUGGGAGACUCGUAG